RNAcentral lists this transfer RNA (67 nucleotides) under Conus betulinus. RNAcentral's name for it is "tRNA-Thr". It matches the Rfam family "tRNA". Rfam says of the family: Transfer RNA (tRNA) molecules are approximately 80 nucleotides in length. Lineage: Eukaryota; Metazoa; Mollusca; Gastropoda; Neogastropoda; Conidae. The record is from RNAcentral.
GCAACGAUAGCUUAAACUAAAGCAUUGGUCUUGUAAGCCAAAGAUGAGCUCAAAUACUCUCGUUGCU